This 431-nucleotide ribosomal RNA is filed under the name uncultured bacterium. RNAcentral describes it as "partial 16S ribosomal RNA". It matches the Rfam family "Bacterial small subunit ribosomal RNA", at positions 28 to 507 of the family's 1533-position model. The record is from RNAcentral.
GACGAACGCUGGCGGCAGGCUUAACACAUGCAAGUCGAACGCCCCGCAAGGGGAGUGGCAGACGGGUGAGUAACGCGUGGGAAUCUACCCAUCCCUACGGAAUAACGCAUGGAAACGUGUGCUAAUACCGUAUACGCCCUACGGGGGAAAGAUUUAUCGGGGAUGGAUGAGCCCGCGUUGGAUUAGCUAGUUGGUGGGGUAAAGGCCUACCAAGGCGACGAUCCAUAGCUGGUCUGAGAGGAUGAUCAGCCACAUUGGGACUGAGACACGGCCCAAACUCCUACGGGAGGCAGCAGUGGGGAAUAUUGGACAAUGGGCGCAAGCCUGAUCCAGCCAUGCCGCGUGAGUGAUGAAGGCCUUAGGGUUGUAAAGCUCUUUCACCGGAGAAGAUAAUGACGGUAUCCGGAGAAGAAGCCCCGGCUAACUUCGUG